GACGAACGCUGGCGGCGUGCUUAACACAUGCAAGUCGAACGGAAAGGCCCUGCUUUUGUGGGGUGCUCGAGUGGCGAACGGGUGAGUAACACGUGAGUAACCUGCCCUUGACUUUGGGAUAACUUCAGGAAACUGGGGCUAAUACCGGAUAGGAGCUCCUGCUGCAGGGGGGGGGUUGGAAAGUUUCGGCGGUUGGGGAUGGACUCGCGGCUUAUCAGCUUGUUGGUGGGGUAGUGGCUUACCAAGGCUUUGACGGGUAGCCGGCCUGAGAGGGUGACCUGCCACAUUGUGACUGAGCUACUGCCCAGACUCCUACUGGAGGCAGCAGUGGGGAAUAUUGCACAAUGGUCGGAAGCCUGAUGCAGCAACGCCGCGUGCGGGAUGACGGCCUUCGGGUUGUAAACCGCUUUCGCCUGUGACGAAGCGUGAGUGACGGUAAUGGGUAAAGAAGCACCGGCUAACUACGUG
This 468-nucleotide ribosomal RNA is filed under the name uncultured bacterium. RNAcentral describes it as "partial 16S ribosomal RNA". It matches the Rfam family "Bacterial small subunit ribosomal RNA", at positions 28 to 507 of the family's 1533-position model. The record is from RNAcentral.